Grus americana (Whooping crane) is the source of this 88-nucleotide small nuclear RNA. RefSeq annotates it as U5 spliceosomal RNA. Lineage: Eukaryota; Metazoa; Chordata; Aves; Gruiformes; Gruidae. The record is from RefSeq and is a predicted model, not a curated record. The transcript has a single exon.
AGCCUCUGGUUUCUCUUCAGGUCGUAUAAAUCUUUCGCCUUUUACUAAAGAUUUCCGUGGAGAAGAACAGGCACCCGUGGAGAGAGGA